This 253-nucleotide ribosomal RNA is filed under the name uncultured bacterium. RNAcentral describes it as "partial 16S ribosomal RNA". It matches the Rfam family "Bacterial small subunit ribosomal RNA", at positions 524 to 776 of the family's 1533-position model. The record is from RNAcentral.
UACGUAGGUGGCUAGCGUUGUCCGGAUUUACUGGGCGUAAAGGGCGUGCAGGCGGUUUGUUAAGUGCAGAGUGAAAGCUCCCGGCUCAACUGGGAGAGGUCUUUGCAUACUGGCAAACUCGAGGGAGGCAGAGGAAAGUGGAAUUCCCGGUGUAGUGGUGAUAUGCGUAGAUAUCGGGAGGAACACCUGUGGCGAAGGCGGCUUUCUGGGCCUUACCUGACGCUGAGACGCGAAAGCGUGGGGAGCGAACCGG